CCGGACAUAACGAGACGAGGCUAGGCGCUCGGAGAGAGCGAGGCGCCGAGACCAGUUUGCAAAGCAGGCAGGCAGAAACGGCCUCGUCUGGAUAACGGGAACAAAUAACAUCCGCCUUUCCUCCCGCCCCUGCAGCUGAAGAUUCUCAACUAUUCUAACCCUUAGGUUCCGUUCUAUCAUCUUAACUAGCUCCCGUAAUUUCAGCCCCCAGGAUCCUGCAAACAUCCUGACGUCUGCUAACUGGACAUAGGGAUAUAGAAAAGUCCGAAACGUUUUGCUACUAUCCGGAUUUUUGCAGCCCAGUGCGGUAGCUCUUUCUUUGCAGCUGCCAACAGCGAAGAGGGAGUAGCCACGCAUCAAAUCUGGAGGUCGCCCCGUUGGACAACUCUAGAGUUUCUCC
Long non-coding RNA from Crotalus tigris (Tiger rattlesnake), 400 nucleotides. RefSeq lists it as uncharacterized. The transcript has 3 exons. The record is from RefSeq and is a predicted model, not a curated record. Lineage: Eukaryota; Metazoa; Chordata; Lepidosauria; Squamata; Viperidae.